GCAUGCAUGAACCCAGUUCUUUGAAUCCUUGAACAUCCUUGCUACCAUAAGCACAAUCUCACAUUACAAUCUGUUUACAAAGCAUGCGUUUAAACAAAAUGACAACUUUUACCUUCCUUACCUUGGAAUCACUGGGCUGAACCACCCAAGCCUUCUUAAGCUCCAAUGAUGGCAUGUGGGAGGAAAUCCUCUUGGUUUUUCUCCAAUUCCUCUAAAAUCAAACAUUUCUCUAGCUUUUCUUCUUUUUCCUUUCUUCCUUUCUCUUUUCUUUUUUCAGAACCGAUUCUCUUUCUUUUCUCUCGAAGGUGUAGUUUUUCUCCCAAACCUUUUCCCUCACUUUUCAUUUCCUUAUUUAUUCCUCACUUUUCAUUGGACCUAAUCAUCCCCUACUCAAAUUUGAUGCACCAAUUUCCUCCCUUGCACAUUGGUCCAUUAUCUAUC
This 441-nucleotide long non-coding RNA is filed under the name Theobroma cacao (cacao). RNAcentral's name for it is "long non-coding RNA (TCAC_LNC003960)". Lineage: Eukaryota; Viridiplantae; Streptophyta; Magnoliopsida; Malvales; Malvaceae. The record is from RNAcentral.